CGGUGAUUGGCGCAGCCUGGUAGCGCACUUCGUUCGGGAUGAAGGGGUCGGAGGUUCGAAUCCUCUAUCACCGACCA
This 77-nucleotide transfer RNA is filed under the name Escherichia coli. RNAcentral describes it as "tRNA-Pro". It matches the Rfam family "tRNA". Rfam says of the family: Transfer RNA (tRNA) molecules are approximately 80 nucleotides in length. Their secondary structure includes four short double-helical elements and three loops (D, anti-codon, and T loops). Lineage: Bacteria; Pseudomonadati; Pseudomonadota; Gammaproteobacteria; Enterobacterales; Enterobacteriaceae. The record is from RNAcentral. RNAcentral also lists the same sequence under 1 other name.